Molecule: ribosomal RNA, 500 nt
Filed under: uncultured bacterium
Lineage: Bacteria
Description: partial 16S ribosomal RNA
Rfam family: Bacterial small subunit ribosomal RNA
Source: RNAcentral
AUUGAACGCUGGCGGCAGGCCUAACACAUGCAAGUCGAGCGGAUGACGGGAGCUUGCUCCUUUAUUCAGCGGCGGACGGGUGAGUAAUGCCUAGGAAUCUGCCUGGUAGUGGGGGACAACGUUUCGAAAGGAACGCUAAUACCGCAUACGUCCUACGAGAGAAAGCAGGGGACCUUCGGGCCUUGCGCUAUCAGAUGAGCCUAGGCCGGAUUAGCUAGUUGGUGAGGUAAUGGCUCACCAAGGCGACGAUCCGUAACUGGUCUGAGAGGAUGACAAGUGACACUGGAACAGAGACACGGUCCAGACUCCUACGGGAGGCAGCAGUGGGGAAUAUUGGACAAUGGGCGAAAGCCUGAUCCAGCCAUGCCGCGUGUGUGAAGAAGGUCUUCGGAUUGUAAAGCACUUUAAGUUUGGAGGAAGGGCAGUAAGUUAAUACCUUGCUGUUUUGACGUUACCGACAGAAUAAGCACCGGCUAACUCUGUGCCAGCAGCCGCCGUAA